UUUGUUCAGUUAUUAUUCACCCUACAAAACAGUUAAGCAUGAACAUUGUAAAUCCUUUCUUCCUAUUACAAAUAAGGACAACGAAUUCCGAUGAAUUCCACACGUACACACGACCACCCUUUUCCGACCCACUUACAGCCAACUUCUUUUCAACUGUGGAUUUUACAGCAGCUGCACCGGCCCUGGUGUAACGCAGUACAUCUCCAGAGCAUUAUAACAAGGCCACUCACAGAUUAAGAAAUGCUAAAUUAUCUAAGCUAGACAUUUUAUUAUUCUUUGGUGGAUCAUCCUCCUUCACUCACUCUGAUGUAUCAUCAACAUGUUCAUUCUGCGUCUAGGUUUCCUGUAAUAACAACAUAUGUAUAAGAGCAGUGCUUCAGACGAACUGGAAAUCUGGCGUGGACACAGUUCAAAAGGUAAUGAAGGGAAAGUCACCAACACAUCCUUUGCUGGCGUAAAGACACCUUCAGGGAGCUCAUGGCGCUGGCUAGCAGCGCCAGAAGCUUCAGCAGCCACUCCAUCUUCACACAAUCAUCAUAAAACAAACAAAUUUAGAACCACAAAAUGCACCAAAUUCAAAAGGAAUCGCCUAGAGCUACCUACCAAGAUGAGCAGGCAAUUCCGCUGCAGCACCGGUACAGGAAGAACUGCUGCCUGCAACGAAAUCAUAAUACAUAGAUCCACCCACUGGGAAGAACUUGCGAACCUAGAAAGUCAAGGCAUCCUUAUCUCUCCUAAAGGAAUAUCGUGGCGCGCUCACUUCGACGACAUAUUUCCUUCCAACCAGAGCCAUGAUCUCCAGCGGCAUAACUGAACAAUUGCCCUUCCUGGACGACCAUGUUAAAGCACAGAGAAACAAAACACAAAGGGGAUAAAAUAAAUGAAUCUCAAUACACAUACCAAUAAAACUGGACUAAUUAGGAAAAGAGUCGGAUGAAAACGACAUAUAGCAGUUUGGCUACAAAUGACAGUAAUACAUAAGAAAAACACUUGCAAAUGAGCCCGUGCGUUGCAACGGGUGAAAAACACUUCCUAAUCUAAUAACCAUGAGUCCAAACUUCAGUAGGUCCAUGUCCUUUAUUUCAACACAUGGCAUCCCAUCUGUGUUUCUAUUUACCUUUCUUCCCACUCUCGUCGAUGUUGGCCUCAGUGUUGACAUCAACACAACACAUUUGAAUGUUGUCAAUCUUAAGACGUCUCUCUCUCGGCAUACGAUGCAAAUGAGCCCGUGCGUUGCAACAGGUGAAAAAACACUCACUAAUCUAAUAACCAUGAAUUCGUAGGUCCAUGUCCUUUAUUUCAACACAUGGCAUCCCAUCUGUGUUUCUAUUUAUCCUUCUUCCCAUUCUCGUUGAUGCUGGGCUCAGUGUUCACACCAUCACAACACGUUUGAAUGUUGUCAAUCUUAAGAAGUCUCCCUUUCGGCAUAGGAUGAUAAAUCUUUUUUUUUGUGAAUUUUUUAGAUAUUGUUUAUUUCACAAUCCUGGUUUUACCGAAGGUUCAUUUUCAAUUCGGAGCGGCACCGGUAUGAAGGAAAGACUGAUCAUGCGCUAUUGAUUAAGGUUUCAUCGUAAAUAGCAUAUUUUUAAAUGUUUAACAGUUAAAAAUAAUAUCAUAUUCAGAUUCUACAUAUUUUUCUAAUCAAAUUUCAUAUAUAACAUGUUAAAUUUGGAGUUAGGAUUAAAAAGUUAUGGAUUUUUAAAAAAUCUGUUAACAUGUACUGCGGGUUUAUUACCAAAAACUUGAGUGUGUUCUGAAAAAUAGCAUGACGGACCAAGAAUACCUAUUUCUUUUAUUAGUAGGUAUAGAAAUCUAUAAAUCUAUGUUAACUUAGACCCAUCAAUUCCACUACCAGGUCAUACAAUCUUUUCUUCUUGAUCGAAGAUAACCAAUGAGACAGCACAAGUAAAGUACAUGUUUAGCAAUGCUGGCAGCACCGAAGCUAACACCAAGGCUCGCUCAGAGCCAGACAUAAAACAACUAUACAUAUACAUAACUGGAUAUACCAAACAUAUGCAUGCUUCAGCAAGACAUCAACCAAAACGACUUCAAAUAACCAUUUGAACCUCCUACCAAGCAACACGAACCAUGAUUUUUACCUAAGAGCUAGCAUAGCUACAACGUGGACUGCAGUUGCAGCAAGACAAAAUGAUAAUGCCAUAGAAUCUUCAACCAGACGUAAUAAAAGCCCUCUAAAAACACCACCACCAUAAAACAGACACUUCACAGCAACAUCACAUGACCCACCCCCAAGCAUUUGCUGAAUAAUCUACCUAAACACAGAAACAACAACCUAAAUAAACCACAGACAAAUCUUCUUUUCUGUAGGAGUACAUGACAAUUAAAACACACACAUAAACCGAACCUACCACAGACCCAGCAGCACUCUGACCGUUGAAGAAGAACAAAAGCAACCAUUAAACCAUAACAACAACAACAACAACAACAACAACAACAACAACAAAGCCUUUAGUCCCAAACAAGUUGGGGUAGGCUAGAGGUGAAACCCAUAAAGAUCUGCGACUAACUCAUGGCUCUGGCACAUGGAUAGCAAGGUUCCACGCACCCCUGUCCAUAGCUAGUUCUUUGGUCAUACUCCAAUCCUUUAGGUCUCUCUUAACGGACUCCUCCCAUGUCAAGUUCGGUCUACCCUGACCUCUCUUGACAUUCUCCGCACGCUUUAGCCUUCCGCUAUGCACUGGAGCUUCUGGAGGCCUACGCUGAAUAUGCCCAAACCAUCUCAGACGAUGUUGGACAAGCUUCUCUUCAAUUGGCGCUACCCCAACUCUAUCUCGUAUAUCAUCAUUCCGGACUCGAUCCUUCCUCGUGUGGCCACACAUCCAUCUCAACAUACGCAUCUCCGCCACACCUAACUGUUGAACAUGUCGCCUUUUAGUCGGCCAACACUCAGCGCCAUACAACAUUGCGGGUCGAACCGCUGUCCUAUAGAACUUGUCUUUUAGCUUUUGUGGCACUCUCUUAUCACAGAGAAUGGCAAAAGCUUGGCGCCACUUCAUCCAUCUGGCUUUGAUCCGAUGGUUCACGUCUUGUUCAAUAUCCCCAUCCUCCUGCAGCAUUGACCCCAAAUAUCGAAAGGUGUUCUUCUGAGGCACCACCUGCCCGUCAAGGCUAACCUCCUCCUCACACCUAGUAGUACUGAAACCGCACAUCAUGUACUCGGUUUUAGUUCUACUAAGCCUAAACCCUUUCGAUUCCAAGGUUUGUCUCUAUAACUCUAACUUCCUAUUUACCCCCGUUCGACUAUCGUCAACUAGAACCACAUCAUCCGCGAAGAGCAUACACCAUGGGAUAUCUCCUUGUAUAUCCCUUGUGACCUCAUCCAUCAGCAAGGCAAAAAGAUAAGCGCUCAAAACUGACCCCUGAUGCAGUCCUAUCUUAAUUGGGAAGUCAUCAAUGUCGAACAUCACUUGUUCGAACACUUGUCACAACAUUAUCGUACAUGUCCUUGAUGAGGGUAAUGUACUUUGCUGGGACUUUGUGUUUCUCCAAGGCCCACCACAUGACAUUCCACAGUAUCUUAUCAUAGGCCUUCUCCAAGUCAAUGAACACCAUAUGCAAGUCCUUCUUUUGCUCCCUGUGUCUCUUUAUAAAUUGUCGUACCAAGAAAAUGGCUUCCAUGGUCGACCUCCCAUGCAUGAAACCAAACUGAUUUUUGGUCACGCUUGUCAUUCUUCUUAAGCGGUGCUCAAUGACUCUCUCCCAUAGCUUCAUUGUAUGGCUCAUCAGCUUAAUUCCACGGUAAUUAGUACAACUCUGAACAUCCCCCUUGUUCUUGAAGAUUGGUACUAAUAUACUCCGUCUCCAUUCUUCUGGCAUCUUGUUUGCCCGAAAAAUGAGGUUGAAAAGCUUGGUUAUCAGAAUUCUCAUUCUCCUAAGAAAAAAUUACUAAACACAACCAAAAGCCCUAUCAAUAUAAAACAAAACCCCCUUACAACAUCAUAAGGCUAACCCUCCAAACAUCCCUAGAUAACCAUCUUAUUCAGGAUAAUAACAAAAACUAUCUCACACCACCAAUUUGAACAACGACAUGUGGGAGCCUAACCACAAACUCAUACAGAAAAAAAAAGAUGAGGACAAAGGAUCCCCCGCUCCAGCACUCACAUGCGACCUCCAAACAUGCAAUCCACACACAUGUAACACCUGAUGGAGCAUCAGGCAAAGAGGCGUAAUUCUUCCGGAGUUGUGUAGCGCGUGGUGUGUGCGUGUGUUAAGUUAAGUGGGGUCUUGGCUAUUUGGUCAGGUUGGACUGGUGAAGAAGGUAAGAAUUGAAGGAAUGAGAAUUUCCCCAUCUGCUUCUAUCUCUCGCGUCUCUGUUCUUCUCUCUGCUCUUGAGUUUUCCCCCAAAUUCACGUAUCUCUGAGUUCUAGCUCACGCCUCGAUCUCGCAACAACAACGGGCGUGACAAGACACCACAAAUGAGUCCCAAUCACAAAAAUCAAACCGGCAACAACCAAAAAGAAUGAAAACAAUAACAAACCUCCGAACAUAGAGAAGAAGAGCGAUGCAGACGAUGCAAAUCCACGAGUUGAGACAACCGAUGCAGGGGAAGAAGAAAAUACCAGCGCAUGAUCUGGCCCCUCGACAAAGAGGGAGCGAUCGAACCCACGAUCGAACCCACAAGCCGCCGCCGCCGCCCGCUAAAGGAAGGAGCCAGCACCGCCGGCCCCCUCACCCAAAUCCAAAGAAGAGAAUAAAUGGUCGCAGCCCCAAUAGGAAAAGAAAGAGGGGGCACCGACACGUACACAGGAAGGCACACGCAGCCACCACGAAUCAAUCCGAACCAACCAAAGAGUCGACACGACCGUAUCAGAC
RNAcentral lists this long non-coding RNA (4833 nucleotides) under Triticum aestivum (bread wheat). Its description in RNAcentral is "long non-coding RNA (TAES_LNC000157)". The record is from RNAcentral. Lineage: Eukaryota; Viridiplantae; Streptophyta; Magnoliopsida; Poales; Poaceae.